CGGGGGACAGGGUGACAGGUGGUGCAUGGUUGUCGUCAGCUCGUGUCGUGAGAUGUUGGGUUAAGUCCCGCAACGAGCGCAACCCUCGCCUCUAGUUGCCAGCAUUCGGUUGGGCACUCUAGAGGGACUGCCGGCGACAAGUCGGAGGAAGUGGGAUGACGUCAAUCAUCAUGCCCCUUAUGACCUGGGCUACACACGUGCUACAAUGGGCGGUACAAAGGGCUGCGAACCCGCGAGGGGGAGCGAAUCCCAAAAAGCCGCUCUCAGUUCGGAUUGCAGGCUGCAACUCGCCUGCAUGAAGCCGGAAUCGCUAGUAAUCGCGGAUCAGCAUGCCGCGGUGAAUACGUUCCCGGGCCUU
This 358-nucleotide ribosomal RNA is filed under the name uncultured Geobacillus sp. RNAcentral describes it as "bacterial SSU rRNA". It matches the Rfam family "Bacterial small subunit ribosomal RNA", at positions 1020 to 1382 of the family's 1533-position model. The record is from RNAcentral. Lineage: Bacteria; Bacillati; Bacillota; Bacilli; Caryophanales; Anoxybacillaceae.